CCGGCGAGAGUUCCUGCUUCAGUUAUGGCGGAGCCCGAAGGGGCAAGGUGGGGAAGCCAGGGCGGGGCUUGGCCAGGAGACGCAGCGGGUACUUUUCUGGCCGGAGCCUUGGAAGGUGAGCGAUAUAAGGAUUUUCGUAGCCCUCUUGGAAUAAAAG
Long non-coding RNA from Phyllostomus discolor (pale spear-nosed bat), 157 nucleotides. RefSeq lists it as uncharacterized. The record is from RefSeq and is a predicted model, not a curated record. The transcript is spliced from 2 exons. Lineage: Eukaryota; Metazoa; Chordata; Mammalia; Chiroptera; Phyllostomidae.